CCUACGGGAGGCAGCAGUAAGGAAUAUUGGUCAAUGGAGGCAACUCUGAACCAGCCAUGCCGCGUGCAGGAAGACUGCCCUAUGGGUUGUAAACUGCUUUUAUCCGGGAAUAAACCUGCUUACGUGUAAGUAGCUGAAUGUACCGGAAGAAUAAGGAUCGGCUAACUCCGUGCCAGCAGCCGCGGUAAUACGGAGGAUCCAAGCGUUAUCCGGAUUUAUUGGGUUUAAAGGGUGCGUAGGCGGCCUGUUAAGUCAGGGGUGAAAGACGGUAGCUCAACUAUCGCAGUGCCCUUGAUACUGAUGGGCUUGAAUGGACUAGAGGUAGGCGGAAUGAGACAAGUAGCGGUGAAAUGCAUAGAUAUGUCUCAGAACACCGAUUGCGAAGGCAGCUUACUAUGGUCUUAUUGACGCUGAGGCACGAAAGCGUGGGGAUCGAAACAGGAUUAGAUACCCUGGUAGUCCACGCCCUAAACGAUGAACACUCGCUGUGGCGAUACACAGUCAGCGGCGUACGACGAAGACGUUAGUAGUUCCGACCGUCGGGUAGGUACGCCCGCCGACGGUAGGUAACGUACGAAGUAGUAGUUAGUACGGACGUAGAGACGUUCGCCGACGGACGACGACGAGGGAGGUAGG
This 636-nucleotide ribosomal RNA is filed under the name uncultured bacterium. Its description in RNAcentral is "bacterial SSU rRNA". The stretch from base 1 to 538 matches the Rfam family "Bacterial small subunit ribosomal RNA", at positions 338 to 873 of the family's 1533-position model. The record is from RNAcentral.